UACCUGCAGCUCGAGUGGUAACCGCUUUUAUUGGGCCUAAAGCGUCCGUAGCCGGUUUGGUAAACAUCUGGGUAAAUCGUGAGGCUUAACUUCACGAAUUUCGGAUAGACUGCCAGACUUGGGAUCGGGGGAGGUCAGAGGUACUCCAGGGGUAGCGGUGAAAUGUUGUAAUCCUUGGAGGACCACCGGUAGCGAAGGCGUCUGACUAGAACGAGUCCGACGGUGAGGGACGAAGCCCUGGGGCGCAAACCGGAUUAGAUACCCGGGUAGUCCAGGGUGUAAACAAUGUGGGCUUUGUAUUGGAGGUCCUACGUGGGCGUCCAGUGCAGAAGAGAAGUUGUUAAGCCCACCGCCUGGGAAGUACGGUCGCAAGGCUGAAACUUAAAGGAAUUGGCGGGGAGCACAGCAACGGGAGGAGCGUGCGGUUU
This 428-nucleotide ribosomal RNA is filed under the name uncultured archaeon. Its description in RNAcentral is "bacterial SSU rRNA". It matches the Rfam family "Archaeal small subunit ribosomal RNA", at positions 474 to 903 of the family's 1478-position model. The record is from RNAcentral.